This 399-nucleotide ribosomal RNA is filed under the name uncultured bacterium. RNAcentral describes it as "bacterial SSU rRNA". It matches the Rfam family "Bacterial small subunit ribosomal RNA", at positions 362 to 776 of the family's 1533-position model. The record is from RNAcentral.
UAUUGGACAAUGGGGGGAACCCUGAUCCAGCGACGCCGCGUGAGUGAAGAAGUAUCUCGGUAUGUAAAGCUCUAUCAGAAGGGAAAAAGAAAUGACGGUACAUGAGUAAGAAUCCUCGGCUAACUACGUGCGAGCAGCCGCGGUAAUACGUAGGGGGCAAGCGUUAUCCGGAAUUACUGGGUGUAAAGGGAGCGUAAACGGUGAUGUAAGUCUGGAGUGAAAGGCGGGGGCCCAACCCCCGGACUGCUCUGGAAACUAUGUGACUGGAGUGCAGGAGAGGUGAGCGGAAUUCCUAGUGUAGCGGUGAAAUGCGUAGAUAUUAGGAGGAACACCAGUGGCGAAGGCGGCUCACUGGACUGUAACUGACGUUGAGGCUCGAAAGCGUGGGGAGCAAACAGG